GGAUAAGUGGUCGAGUGGUUUAAGGCGUUAGUUUUGAAAACUAAAGUAUUAAUAAAAUACCGUGGGUUCAAAUCCCACCUUUUCCU
Molecule: transfer RNA, 86 nt
Filed under: Candidatus Pelagibacterales bacterium
Lineage: Bacteria; Pseudomonadati; Pseudomonadota; Alphaproteobacteria; Candidatus Pelagibacterales
Description: tRNA-Ser
Rfam family: tRNA
About the family: Transfer RNA (tRNA) molecules are approximately 80 nucleotides in length. Their secondary structure includes four short double-helical elements and three loops (D, anti-codon, and T loops).
Source: RNAcentral